UGGGGGAAAGGGACAAUGAUCACCGUGUCCAGUGCUACGCCAAUAAAACCGACACCGUUUCCGCUUAUGGAGGUAUGCGGUUUGUCCGGUGUCACGGGUCCUCUCGCUACUGGCUGUUUAGCAACCGAUUUCCUGCCUAUCCCCGCUACCUUUUCGUGGUCAGAUCAAUCAGGAAAAGCUUAUGCAGUGGAUACAUUCCUCCAGUACCCAUCUGUGCAGAAGGGAGGCAUGUACACUUCCACCAGCCAGCUCACCAUCUCCCAGGCAGAGUGGGAUAAGGCUGAGUACUUUAUUUGCACUGUAGAAAAUCCUACCGGCAAGUCAGUAGUCAACGUGACAAAACCUGGGCCUAAAAUCGAACCCCAUGUUUUCAUAAUCCCACCGUCUAUUCAAGAGAUUAGAGAAAACAAAUCUGCCACAAUUGUAUGUGUAGCCAGAGGAUUUUCACCCAAGGAGUGGUCAUUUAAAUGGAAGAAGAAUUCUGUGGAAUUUGAUGCUAAACAUAUCACUAACACGGGAGCGAGGGCGGACAACGGACAUUUCAACGCCUACAGUAUCUUAGUUGCCAGUGAGAAUGAAUGGUUGGAAUCAAACAUCAAAUGUGAGGUGACUUAUGGCUCAUCUGUAGUGAGCAAGACCAUUAACAGCACCGUUAUAGACUGCCCUGGAAAUGUUCAUGUUGACAUAUUGCCUCCCUCUGCUGAAGAAAUAUUCAUCGAGCAUACAGCCACGUUAACCUUUAAAGCAACUGGGUUAAUUUCAGUUGAUGGCAUUGAAAUAAAGUGGGCUUCAGAAACUGCAGAAAUUGCAACUGGUGCACCUGACAUUAGCACUGAGAACGGUUUCUAUGCAGUUGUCUCCAAGCUUAAAGUAACCGUGGAACAGUGGAGCCGUGGGGACAAAUUCUUCUGUACUGUAAAGCAAAUUGACUCAUUACCAAGUCCACGGACCGUUGAGUACCACAGAGAGAAGGAUGGUCCUUCUCAUCGGCCAUCGGUGUAUCUCCUCUCGCCAUCGCCUCAAGAAUCCAGCGACGGAACCAAAGUUGUUACCCUGACCUGCUUCGUCAAAGACUUCUACCCGGAAGAGGUGUACAUCAUCUGGCUUCACAAUGACAACCCUGUCCCCAAAACCACCUACACCAGCACCAAUUUGAUUCCCCAUAAAAAUGGCCAGACCUUGUUUUCGGUGUACAGCAAGUUGACUGUGCCUACCCAGAACUGGACCAACGGGGAUGUCUAUACUUGCGUGGUCUAUCAUGAGACCAUUCAACCACCCACCAAGAUGAUCACCAGAAACGCAGAUUCAACUGGAGCUUCUAUAGCAGUCUCUCAAGACUGCUCUGAUUAUGACUUAGAGGAAGAUGAUGCGGGCAGCCUCUGGACCACAGCCUCCACCUUCAUCUUCCUCUUCCUCAUCAGUUUCUUCUACAGCAUCGGAGCGACUUUCGCAAAGGUGAAAUAAUGCAAUUGCAAAAGGAGCUGAAUGGAAUUCUGGCAGAGCAAUUAACCGUGUGGCUUUUCUUUCAUUAUUUCUGUUAAUGGUUAUAAAACAUGCUUUUGUUAGUAGUGUAAGUCAAUAGUACUGCUGUUAGUCUCAUUCCUCUGUGUAAAUAUUUGACUGUGUAUUAGUGUAUUGCUUUGCUUAUCUGAAUUUUUAAUAAAGACUUUAAUUAAACAACCAA
This is a non-coding RNA of Polyodon spathula (Mississippi paddlefish), 1684 nucleotides long. The record is from the annotation of a RefSeq genome assembly. Lineage: Eukaryota; Metazoa; Chordata; Actinopteri; Acipenseriformes; Polyodontidae.